Molecule: ribosomal RNA, 681 nt
Filed under: uncultured nitrite-oxidizing bacterium
Lineage: Bacteria
Description: bacterial SSU rRNA
Rfam family: Bacterial small subunit ribosomal RNA
Source: RNAcentral
GGCUCAGAACGAGCGCUGGCGGCGCGCCUAAUACAUGCAAGUCGAGCGAGAAGGUGUAGCAAUACACUUGUAAAGCGGCGAACGGGUGAGGAAUACAUGGGUAACCUACCCUAGAGUGGGGAAUAACUAGCCGAAAGGUUAGCUAAUACCGCGUACGCUCCUUGGACUUCGGCUCAGGGAGGAAAGCGAUACCGAGGGUAUCGCGCUCUUGGAUGGGCUCAUGUCCUAUCAGCUUGUUGGUGAGGUAACGGCUCACCAAGGCUUCGACGGGUAGCUGGUCUGAGAGGACGAUCAGCCACACUGGCACUGCGACACGGGCCAGACUCCUACGGGAGGCAGCAGUAAGGAAUAUUGCGCAAUGGGCGAAAGCCUGACGCAGCGACGCCGCGUGGGGGAUGAAGGUCUUCGGAUUGUAAACCCCUUUCGGGAGGGAAGAUGGAGUGGGUAACCACUUGGACGGUACCUCCAGAAGCAGCCACGGCUAACUUCGUGCCAGCAGCCGCGGUAAUACGAAGGUGGCAAGCGUUGUUCGGAUUCACUGGGCGUACAGGGAGCGUAGGCGGUUGGGUAAGCCCUCCGUGAAAUCUCCGGGCCUAACCCGGAAAGUGCAGAGGGGACUGCUCAGCUAGAGGAUGGGAGAGGAGCGCGGAAUUCCCGGUGUAGCGGUGAAAUGCGUAGAGA